AAGGGUAUAGCUCAGGGGUAGAGCGCGUGCUUAGUACGCACGAGGUCCUGGGUUCAGUCCCCAGCACCUCCA
Molecule: transfer RNA, 72 nt
Filed under: Camelus ferus (Wild Bactrian camel)
Lineage: Eukaryota; Metazoa; Chordata; Mammalia; Artiodactyla; Camelidae
Rfam family: tRNA
About the family: Transfer RNA (tRNA) molecules are approximately 80 nucleotides in length. Their secondary structure includes four short double-helical elements and three loops (D, anti-codon, and T loops).
Source: Rfam by way of RNAcentral